UACGGAGGGAGCUAGCGUUGUUCGGAAUUACUGGGCGUAAAGCGCACGUAGGCGGCUUUGUAAGUUAGAGGUGAAAGCCCGGGGCUCAACCCCGGAAUUGCCUUUAAGACUGCAUCGCUUGAAUCCGGGAGAGGUGAGUGGAAUUCCGAGUGUAGAGGUGAAAUUCGUAGAUAUUCGGAAGAACGCCAGUGGCGAAGGCGGCUCACUGGACCGGUAUUGACGCUGAGGUGCGAAAGCGUGGGGAGCAAACAGG
RNAcentral lists this ribosomal RNA (253 nucleotides) under uncultured bacterium. RNAcentral's name for it is "partial 16S ribosomal RNA". It matches the Rfam family "Bacterial small subunit ribosomal RNA", at positions 524 to 776 of the family's 1533-position model. The record is from RNAcentral.